GACGAACGCUGGCGGCGUGCCUAAUACAUGCAAGUCGAGCGAAGUUUUUAUGGUGUUUGUACCGGAACAACUUAGCGGCGAACGGGUGAGUAACACGUAAAGAACCUGCAUCAUAGACUGGGAACACUAUUGAAAACGAUCGCUAAUACCGGAUAACAGCAUAAACUGCAUGGUAGAAGUUUAAAAGUUGGUUUUGCUAACACUAUGAGAUGGCUUUGCGGUGCAUUAGCUAGUUGGUGGGGUAAAGGCCUACCAAGGCGACGAUGCAUAGCCGACCUGAGAGGGUGAUCGGCCACACUGGGACUGAGACACGGCCCAGACUCCUACGGGAGGCAGCAGUAGGGAAUCUUCCGCAAUGGGCGAAAGCCUGACGGAGCAACGCCGCGUGAGUGAAGAAGGAUUUCGGUUCGUAAAGCUCUGUUGUUAGGGAAGAAUGAUUGUGUAGUAACUAUACACAGUAGAGACGGUACCUAACCAGAAAGCCACGGCUAACUACGUG
RNAcentral lists this ribosomal RNA (499 nucleotides) under uncultured bacterium. RNAcentral's name for it is "partial 16S ribosomal RNA". It matches the Rfam family "Bacterial small subunit ribosomal RNA", at positions 28 to 507 of the family's 1533-position model. The record is from RNAcentral.